This is a long non-coding RNA of Raphanus sativus (radish), 2381 nucleotides long. RefSeq lists it as uncharacterized. Lineage: Eukaryota; Viridiplantae; Streptophyta; Magnoliopsida; Brassicales; Brassicaceae. The record is from RefSeq and is a predicted model, not a curated record. The transcript is spliced from 6 exons.
GUUGGGCUUUGUCUGCGGCCCGUCAACCACAAGAUUCUACGGAAACCCUAAUCAGUCGAUAUGCUCUCCUUCGUGUUCUUCGUUUUCCUCGAUCGGCAGAGAGACGAUUCAGGUUCUGUAACGGUGAUUUGUGUUUUAUUCGUCUUAGAUCAUCAACAGAUCUAUUCGGUUUCAAUCAAAAACGCUGCAGCCUCAUUACUUUUUCCGUAUUAAAGUCGAGUAUGCAGUUUUUUUGUUUCUUUUUCAUGAUAUCGCCGCUCUCUGUACAGUGUUGUCAAUUUGAUAUUUUUCUGAUUAUCUGAUAAUGGUUUCUCUUGCUGAUUCCAGGCACUGAAAAAAGAAAAAUGGUGAAGGGACAGAGGAAAGCGGCGACAUGAGAGGAAAGGAAGGGGAUGAAGGCGGUGAAGGAUAAAGAGCAGAAUGGUGACUUGAAUGUCGGGCGUUCAAGCAACCUUUUGAUUACCAUGGUGUUCAGCAAUUGAAUUUUGUUUUCAUUAACGACAAUGAUUCUGAUGUUUUGGAGUUUCCAGUUACGCAGAAAAAAAAACUUCCAAGCAUGUGAUUGAAGAAACAACUCAAUUAUGUUCUUCACUGCAGAGUCUGAACCGUGGCAUUAGAAUCUUCUUAUGGAUGAGUAAAAAUCACACUUUUAAGCUAAGGAAGACAAAGGACUGGAAACAGCUAACAAAUGGCUCGACUACAAGCUUCAAGACACUGCUAACUUAGCCACAACGCCAAGUUGUUCAGUUCUGUCCAGUUGUCGAACAACCUCAGUGAUGUCGGGAUCCUCUGCCAUGUCGGGAUCAUCACACUUGAGCAGUAGAGGAGAGAUGUCUGCUAGAACCUGGAUGUUGAGUGAAGAUUUGAUUCUGAGCAAAUGAGAAUAGAUUCAUGGUGUUUGGUUAGUACCGAUGACUGGUAAGGAUUUGACAUUGACACAUUUUAGUUUCAAAGGAUUGACGAUAGUGGAGAGGGCACUUUCAUGUCAGCCCAUUACGAAGAUGGAAUUUGAGUUCGAGAGUAGAAAAGUUACUAAAGAGGAUAUAAUAGAGCUGAUAUCUAGGGAGAUAACUGACAUACAAUAACUUUGUGUGAUCAUUUUGUUUUUGUUAGGUUGAUGGUAUGGUAGGAAAGUUUACUAACAUAAACCAUGUGAUGAGAAAACAGGAACCACUUAGAGUGGACAUGAAGAAGUUGUUCCAGUUGGAGAUUGCCACUAAAGCAGCUCCAAAGGGAGAGUUUCUAAUUGUUUUUUUGUGUGUUUAAUAUAUAUUUUCCUAUGUCAAUUCGUAAGCAACUUUAUAGACGGAGUUUCAUAUACAAGUUUAAAAAUAUUGUAUUAUAUUAUUCUUUACAAAGGACUUUGUAAUAUAGAUUCUAUAGUUUUUCUGUGUAUAUACUUUUUAUAAUAAUUUUCCAUUAUUUUCUUAUUCAGUUAUUGAUGAAACGAGUUGUUUUGUCUAAUAUAUAUUCACACCAAACCCCUCUUCAAAUUUACCUUUUUCAAUUAUAUAUUUUUAAAUAGUAUAGAUAAAAAAAUAUACCAAAAAUACAAACAUAUGCAAAUAUGCUUUAAAAACAUCUUUACAAAUACAGUAUUACUCAGCAAUACGCUGCAGCAAAACUAUAUACAACUCACAUAUAGCUUGGUAAACAAAAAAUAAUCAAACGACCCCAAUAUAACAAAACCAAAAGAAAAGAAAAACAAAAUCCAUCAACAUAUAAUUGGCUACUAAAAAGCAUCACACACGGUUGUAAAGCCCAUAAGAAACAACCUUAACAAACGUAAUAGCCCAAUGAUAAUACAAGUUUUGAAACUGUUAAAUGUGUACUAGAGAUAAAAUAAAUACCCUUCUUUGUGAUAAGAGCUUCUAAAUGUUUGGUUUACAGUGUAUGACUGCAGUAACAGUUAAUCAGUUAUCAUUCAUUCUGAGAAGCUUGAAGAAGUUAACAAAGGUUUACAACUUUGUUACAUAUAUACAUAACGACUUCAACUUGGAAGGAAAAAGAUGGUUACUGCAGGCCCUUAACAAAUAACAUGUUUUUUACUCCUAUUAAAGGUUUAAGCCAAGUGUUUGAAGAAAGGAGCAAUACCAUACCAAGACCAUAGAUCGACUGGGGUAAUCCCAUAUUUUCUUCAAGGAUAAACGCUAAAUCUCUUGAUGGCAUUCUGGACAAAUUGAAGAUUAUGAGAAGAAAUCAAAGUGUGUGGAAUCAUCAGAGUCAAAUACUUAUGCAAUUUACAUGACAAGCAGAGCAAGGAAGAUGUGAGAAUCAGACAAAGAAAGACAUGAUCCAGCAAAAGGGGAUGUUUAUCAAAUGAACGUUCUAGAUGGAAAAAAAAUCAUUGGUAAAAUUGAAAAAUAUCAUGCAGAUGAAUC